UGAAGAACCCGGAGUGUGGGACUUUUAUCUGCAGAGUGCGGGAGUUGUAGCCAACGUUACGCGGUUCCCGCUCCAAGCCGAAGAUGCCGCGCCUACUGAGAGGAACGUACUAUAGUCAGAAGUGUGGGACAGGAAGAACGUUAAGGACCUUUGCACUGUGCUAGGGGCCUCCAAGGUUAAAUGUGAUGUGAUUUGUGUGCUUGGGGCCAGGGGACAGUGUAAAGGUAUACGGAGGUACAACUUUUAAGUCCAUGAGCAGUGCCUUGCUUUACGAAAUGGAUGGAUUAUAACGAAGGUCGUAUAAAGCUGGCGGCGAACGCAUUAUAUUCCCCAACUCCCACCCCACCCAUUCCUUCAGUAAAUGCACCAGCAAGAUAACAGUAUAAUUAAGAGUCCUGAAAAAAAAAAGUCCUGAGCCAAAUCUGGGGAUAAAAUAGGAGGCCCCCAGCCUUACGACCUGGAAGGGUACCCUGUGCAUGUAAAUCAACUUAAAAGAUUUUUUGCAUAUUAUAUAUGUAAAUUUGGGUUACAAGUUCCCAAGUUACCCAAAGGUUUCGAUUCAUAAACAUAACUUUUAAAACAGUACUGUAAUAUGCCAUCUCAGUUUGUAAAAACACUAAUUGACAGUCAAAUUAUGUAUGUAUUUUCAAACACAAUUCAGAGCAGCUUUCUCAGCAAAGUUUUGCCGGUUCAGUAUCUGUUGGGGCAAUCGCAGUUAUGUGGGAAGCCGAGAACAGGCUUCAAAAGUACAGACAACUCUCCAGCGCCCUCUUCACCUAGCUGUAUUCUAAGCAUUACCAGGUGAAAGCUCAGAAGUUUUUUCCGGAAGCCCGACAAGGAGCUCCUUGAAAGCAGGAACCGUGCGACCUUUUCCUGUAGCGGAAACACCUACCCAGUGCCAAGCACACGAAAGUGUUUCUGGACACAGAAUUUUGCCCAGAGCCUAUGGAGUAAAGGAGAGGAUCUCUAAACCAGUGGUGUUCACGCUUCCGUGGCUAUGACCAAUGGCCUGACUGGGAGGAAUGCAAAUCACCUGCAAAUGUGGCACAGCAAGCAGGAUGUAGAAC
Long non-coding RNA from Lagenorhynchus albirostris (white-beaked dolphin), 1067 nucleotides. RefSeq lists it as uncharacterized. The record is from RefSeq and is a predicted model, not a curated record. The transcript is spliced from 3 exons. NCBI's taxonomy places the organism in Eukaryota, Metazoa, Chordata, Mammalia, Artiodactyla, Delphinidae.